UCCCUAUGGGGUGCAGCAGUCGCGAAAAUUUUGCAAUACACGAAAGUGUGACAGAGCUAUCCCGAGUGCCAUCCGCUGAGGAAGGCUUUUACCCAGUAUAAAUAGCUGGGAGAAUAAGGAGAGGGCAAGUCUGGUGUCAGCCGCCGCGGUAAUACCAGCUCUCCGAGUAGUGUGGACGUUUAUUGGGCCUAAAGCAUCCGUAGCUUGCUAGAUAAGUCCCCUGUUAAAUCCACCGAUUCAAUCGUUGGAUUGCGGAGGAUACUGUUUGGCUAGGGGACGGGAGAGGUCGACGGUAUUUCCGGGGUAGGGGUGAAAUCCUAUAAUCCCGGGAAGACCACCAGUGGCGAAGGCUGUCGACUAGAGCGCGCCCGACGGUGAGGGAUGAAAGCUGGGGGAGCGAACCGGAUUAGAUACCCGGGUAGUCCCAGCUGUAAACGAUGCAGGCUAGGUGUUUGGGCGGCCACGAGCCGCCCUAGUGCCGCAGGGAAGCUGUUAAGCCUGCCGCCUGGGGAGUACGGCCGCAAGGCUGAAACUUAAAGGAACUGGCGGGGGAGCACCACAAGGGGUGAAGCUUGCGGUUUAAUUGGAUUCAACGCCGGGA
Molecule: ribosomal RNA, 601 nt
Filed under: uncultured archaeon
Lineage: Archaea
Description: bacterial SSU rRNA
Rfam family: Archaeal small subunit ribosomal RNA
Source: RNAcentral